UCCAGACUCCUACGGGAGGCAGCAGUGGGGAAUAUUGCACAAUGGGGGGAACCCUGAUGCAGCGACGCCGCGUGGGCGAGGAAGUAUUUCGGUAUGUAAAGCCCUAUCGGCAGGGAAGAAGAAAUGACGGUACCUGAAUAAGAAGCACCGGCUAAAUACGUGCCAGCAGCCGCGGGAAUACGUAUGGGGCAAGCGUUAUCCGGAUUUACUGGGCGUAAAGGGAGCGCAGGCGGCGACGCAAGUCUGGAGUGAAAGCCCGGGGCCCAACCCCGGGACUGCUCUGGAAACUGCGGCGCUGGAGUACGGGAGGGGCAGGCGGAAUUCCUGGUGUAGCGGUGAAAUGCGUAGAUAUCAGGAGGAACACCGGCGGCGAAGGCGGCCUGCUGGACCGUGACUGACGUUGAGGCUCGAGAGCGUGGGGAGCAAACAGGAUUAGAUACCCUAGUA
This 447-nucleotide ribosomal RNA is filed under the name uncultured bacterium. RNAcentral describes it as "bacterial SSU rRNA". It matches the Rfam family "Bacterial small subunit ribosomal RNA", at positions 330 to 792 of the family's 1533-position model. The record is from RNAcentral.